AGUGGCCCAGGACAUCUCUCUUUCAAGGAGGCAACGGGGAUUCGAUUUCCCCUAGGGGUACUAUGCUAGGAAA
This 73-nucleotide transfer RNA is filed under the name Cephalotaxus oliveri. RNAcentral describes it as "tRNA-Glu". The stretch from base 1 to 60 matches the Rfam family "tRNA", at positions 14 to 71 of the family's 71-position model. Rfam says of the family: Transfer RNA (tRNA) molecules are approximately 80 nucleotides in length. Their secondary structure includes four short double-helical elements and three loops (D, anti-codon, and T loops). The record is from RNAcentral. Lineage: Eukaryota; Viridiplantae; Streptophyta; Pinopsida; Cupressales; Taxaceae.